AACCAUUGUCUUAAUAACACCAGCAUGGUUCUUUUUCUUUACAUUUUUUUAGAUUAAGGAACACAAUGAUUCCAGCAUACCCCAUUCAUUCAUGAAUGAGUACAGCCACACAAUACAAUUUCAAGGAUGCUUAGAUCCAAAUCCGUUAAACCGCACACAAAACAUCACAGCACCAAAUGGAGAAGAAAAAAAAUAAUAAAAAUGCUCUAAUGAAUCCAACAGAGCUUACUUGUCAAUUCUUUACCUAUGUCCCAACUGAAAUCCAAUGGCUCAGCACGUUUGAAGCAGCAUAUACAGGACGGGGACUUUUCAGCAAACAAAUCACGGGUAGGAGGAGCACCACAGGCCACAGCGAAGAUUGGGACUGCUUCUCAGUGAAGUGGAAUGCCGCAAGCAUGAUGCCAUGGUGCCAACGGAGGUCCUAGUUAUCGUGGCGCCUAUGGUCCUGUGGUUUAGCAGCAGCAGGGGUGCAUCCAACACCACGACGGUCUUCUUGCUGAACUUGGUGUCGAGGCAGAAUAUAGCAGCCUACACCUCAUGGAGUCCACGAGUUUGGCUGUCAUCUCGCAAGUCAGCAUCCUAGCCAAUGAGUAGAAGUGUCCUAGUGCAGCGGCGAGAGAGUAAUUAAACCGUGGCUGCUUGGGGAGCGUGAAGCCGUUGGAGAUGUCGAGAAGGCCUGUUGCCAUAGAAGAAUAGACGCUGCACGGGCAGCAAGUCCCUAAAGACUAGGUUGAAUUUAAGAAUGUGGGCGGCAUGCCAUUAGCUCUCAUGGUUGCCUCGCUGCCGGCGACGCCCAAAACCUUCUCGUCUGGGUCGACCAUGUGCGGCACGCAGGCAAGAUGGCCGGUGGUUUCCGUGCGGACCGAUAAUGUGGGAGAUCGGUGUGGGUUCCAUCUUCUCCUAACCGGCUCGACUUCCGCCCCCUUUUGGCCAUCUGGGGAGGAGCGUGAGGGCUGCAGUGGCGCGGAGCGCAGGAGGGCUGUGGUGGUGCGGCGCGCGGUGUGGGACAGCGAGAAGCCUCAUUUUGCAGCGUGAAUGGAUGAUGGAAUUUUUUUCCCUAAGCAAUAGGAUGAUGUUUGGACAGAUAGAGAGGCUCGAAAGUUACAUGGUGACUUAUCA
Zea mays is the source of this 1119-nucleotide RNA transcript. It is a transcript of the gene named anthocyanin 5-aromatic acyltransferase pseudogene, with no coding region annotated. The transcript is spliced from 2 exons. Lineage: Eukaryota; Viridiplantae; Streptophyta; Magnoliopsida; Poales; Poaceae. The record is from RefSeq and is marked validated.